GGCCCCGUAGCUCAGACGGAUAGAGCAGCGGUUUCCUAAACCGUUGACCUGGUGACCUACCACAGACCUUCGUGGAGGUCACCA
Molecule: transfer RNA, 84 nt
Filed under: Brevundimonas sp.
Lineage: Bacteria; Pseudomonadati; Pseudomonadota; Alphaproteobacteria; Caulobacterales; Caulobacteraceae
Description: tRNA-Arg
Source: RNAcentral